RNAcentral lists this ribosomal RNA (741 nucleotides) under uncultured bacterium. Its description in RNAcentral is "bacterial SSU rRNA". It matches the Rfam family "Bacterial small subunit ribosomal RNA", at positions 94 to 823 of the family's 1533-position model. The record is from RNAcentral.
AGCGGCGGACGGGUGAGUAACACGUGGGUAACCUGCCCAAGAGACUGGGAUAACACCUGGAAACAGAUGCUAAUACCGGAUAACAACACUAGACGCAUGUCUAGAGUUUGAAAGAUGGUUCUGCUAUCACUCUUGGAUGGACCUGCGGUGCAUUAGCUAGUUGGUAAGGUAACGGCUUACCAAGGCAAUGAUGCAUAGCCGAGUUGAGAGACUGAUCGGCCACAUUGGGACUGAGACACGGCCCAAACUCCUACGGGAGGCAGCAGUAGGGAAUCUUCCACAAUGGACGAAGGUCUGAUGGAGCAACGCCGCGUGAGUGAAGAAGGGUUUCGGCUCGUAAAGCUCUGUUGGUAGUGAAGAAAGAUAGAGGUAGUAACUGGCCUUUAUUUGACGGUAAUUACUUAGAAAGUCGCGGCUAACUACGUGCCAGCAGCCGCGGUAAUACGUAGGUGGCAAGCGUUGUCCGGAUCUAUUGGGCGUAAAGCGAGUGCAGGCGGUUCAAUAAGUCUGAUGUGAAAGCCUUCGGCUCAACCGGAGAAUUGCAUCAGAAACUGUUGAACUUGAGUGCAGAAGAGGAGAGUGGAACUCCAUGUGUAGCGGUGGAAUGCGUAGAUAUAUGGAAGAACACCAGUGGCGAAGGCGGCUCUCUGGUCUGCAACUGACGCUGAGGCUCGAAAGCAUGGGUAGCGAACAGGAUUAGAUACCCUGGUAGUCCAUGCCGUAACGAUGAGUGCUAAGUGU